UUCUCUUUUUUUUUUCUUUUUUUUUAUUUUUUUUGAGUUUUUUGAUUGUGAGUGCCAAAAGCUCAGAUUGCUCUGGAAUUUUCUUCCGGAGCGCAUUUUUUUCCUUCUGUACGUGUAUGCGGUCAGAGUGUAGAUGGAGACGUUGUGACACAGAAAAUUCUCCCCUUCCGUAACAAGAAGAGUUGCACUGGCGCUUCGUGGAGGAUGUUCCUGCCGACUUCGAUCUGCGGAUGUGUUGGUUCAACUGUUAUUCGAGACAAAAAAAUCUCUCUACCUCAUUUUUUUAAUUCUUCUCGAUUUUCUUUGUCCUAGACUCUGGCGCUUUGGAGGACUUUUCCCUUGUGAUUUUUUUUUUGAUCUGUUGGAAUGUUUCGGUGUAAUAUUCCUUUGUUUUUUUUGUUUUGUUUUGUUUUGUUUUUUUUUUGUUUUCUCCUCGCCGUUUCCGUCUUAAAGGAAGCGUCAAUUCUGCUAUGAUCAGAGCGAUUGCUGGUGGGCGUUGGAUCAGGUCUUGUUAUUGGUGUGUUGCCCAUCGAAGGGAGUAGGUGUGGGCUACUUGUUGCCUUCUUGUAAGCAGUCUACUCGCUCGAUGAGCGACAGGGAAGUACCGGCUGAAUUCACGGCAGUGUUAUUGUUUUCAGUGUUCAAGUCUGGAUUGAGGUUCGAUUGGAGCGUGAUUCAGCUCAGAUUAGGUUUUGCUUCUAUGAGCUGCAAUGCGGCGAUCUUGCAACUGCUGCGAUGUUUUGGUUUUGUUUCAGUGGAGGUCUUUGAGUUGUCUUCGUUUUGUUAAUGUUCAACAUCACAAGUAAAUUGUAACUUCCGUGUGGCUGAUUUGCUAUGGAAAUGAAUCUCUCGCGAUGCCAUUGAGGCACCAAGAGGGUCGGUGGGGUGCUGUCCGACUCUAGAUUGAAGCUUCUUGUUUUUGUUACCUUAUGUUGUGCGGCUUAAGAGUUGGCAUUAUUACAUUGCCAAGAGUUGCAGGGCGGCAUUGCACAGGUCGAGGCGACAAGGCUGUGUCUUGUUAUUUUCUUCUGUUCCAACUUGGUGGGACCUACGGCUAGAACAGUCUUUGAUUUGCACUGUGGCUAGUGGACCACGCUCUUGGUUUUUCUUAAAGCAGCGAAGUAGUUGGCGGUGGCAUUCCAGUGUCCCCUCCUGCAUUGAAUCGCGGUAUCCUCCUUGGAGACAAGGUGCAUUGAGGGUGGUUGUGAUGGAAAUUGCACCAAUCCAACAACAAGCAUUGCUGCCAUACCAUCGUCCAAUCGCCCAGUGAAGGAAAGAGCCUCGUGAAGUGAUCUGGCGAAAGGCGCAAGACGGUAUUGGUGAAGAAUUCGAUUUGGAUCACUGAUCAAGACUAAUGCGGAGAGCUUUAUCGAUCGUGGAACUAUGGCGGAUAAUGACCAUGGCAGAGGAGCUGCCGCUUGUGUGGAUAAAAAUGUGCCGUCUAUCGCCUACAGCUACAUUGCGCGUGCUGUGGCUUGGUGUUGAUCGUAAGCAGGGUGGCGAAGCAUGUAGACCCUGGUGGAGUCAACUAAGGAGCCAACCCCUUCCGAUCCAGUGAGGCUCUCGGAUGGAUGAAGUUAGAUCAGGUCAAUUGAAGUAGACUUGAAAAAAUUAGGUUAAAAGAAUUUAGGUCAAAUUGGAUGAUUUUGUAUAUGGAUGAAAAAUCAAUGGAUUGGAUGAAUAUUUUUAAUAUG
Physcomitrium patens is the source of this 1694-nucleotide long non-coding RNA. RefSeq lists it as uncharacterized. The record is from RefSeq and is a predicted model, not a curated record. Lineage: Eukaryota; Viridiplantae; Streptophyta; Bryopsida; Funariales; Funariaceae.